This 73-nucleotide transfer RNA is filed under the name Thalassoma lunare. RNAcentral describes it as "tRNA-Asp". It matches the Rfam family "tRNA". From Rfam's summary of the family: Transfer RNA (tRNA) molecules are approximately 80 nucleotides in length. Their secondary structure includes four short double-helical elements and three loops (D, anti-codon, and T loops). Further hydrogen bonds mediate the characteristic L-shaped molecular structure. tRNAs have two regions of fundamental functional importance: the anti-codon, which is responsible for specific mRNA codon recognition, and the 3' end, to which the tRNAs corresponding amino acid is attached (by aminoacyl-tRNA synthetases). tRNAs cope with the degeneracy of the genetic code in two manners: having more than one tRNA (with a specific anti-codon) for a particular amino acid; and 'wobble' base-pairing, i.e. permitting non-standard base-pairing at the 3rd anti-codon position. The record is from RNAcentral. RNAcentral also lists the same sequence under 1 other name. Lineage: Eukaryota; Metazoa; Chordata; Actinopteri; Labriformes; Labridae.
GAGAUAUUAGUAAAAUAGGUUAUUACACCGCCUUGUCAAGGCCGAAUUGUGGGUUAAAAUCCCAUAUAUCUUA